Molecule: ribosomal RNA, 433 nt
Filed under: uncultured bacterium
Lineage: Bacteria
Description: partial 16S ribosomal RNA
Rfam family: Bacterial small subunit ribosomal RNA
Source: RNAcentral
AACGAACGCUGGCGGCAUGCCUAACACAUGCAAGUCGAACGAGACCUUCGGGUCUAGUGGCGCACGGGUGCGUAACGCGUGGGAACCUGCCCUUAGGUUCGGAAUAACUCCCCGAAAUGGGUGCUAAUACCGGAUAAUGUCUUCGGACCAAAGAUUUAUCGCCUUUGGAUGGGCCCGCGUUGGAUUAGCUAGUUGGUAGGGUAAAAGCCUACCAAGGCGACGAUCCAUAGCUGGUCUGAGAGGAUGAUCAGCCACACUGGGACUGGGACACGGCCCAGACUACUACGGGAGGCAGCAGUGGGGAAUAUUGGAAAAUGGGCGAAAGCCUGAUCAAGCAAUGACGCGUGAGUGAUGAAGGCCUUAGGGUUGUAAAGCUCUUUUACCCGGGAUGAUAAUGACAGUACCGGGAGAAUAAGCUCCGGCUAACUCCGUG